Long non-coding RNA from Branchiostoma belcheri (Belcher's lancelet), 429 nucleotides. RefSeq lists it as uncharacterized. NCBI's taxonomy places the organism in Eukaryota, Metazoa, Chordata, Leptocardii, Amphioxiformes, Branchiostomatidae. The record is from RefSeq and is a predicted model, not a curated record. The transcript has 4 exons.
GCUCCAUGUAAUCGGCAGAAGUCUUGCUUUCAUAGUCUUUGGUGGUGUCCAGAUCCAACACUUUGAAGGAGACGUAGUUUGACUCCACAGCUGAAGAUACAGACAGAGGAUAGCUGACUUGAGGCUGCGUCUUCACAACAUACAUCAGAGACAUCUUACCAUCACAGUCGCUCCCGUUGAGAGAACAUACACAACUGAAGUACAGACAGAGGAUAGCUGACUUGAGGCUGCGUCGUCAUCAGAGAUACAUCAGAGACAUCUUACCAUCACAGUCGCUCCCGUUAAGAGAACACACACAGCUGAAGUACAGGUGGCAUUAUCAUGACAGUCAUCAAUACCCAGGGCACACUCAUCAAUGUCUAGUAAAACAAGAGAGUGGACAACAUUACUUCCUUGUGCAUGAUGUGGAGAAUUGUCAUUGUGCCGACA